GGACUACAAGGGUUUCUAAUCCUGUUUGCUCCCCACGCUUUCGCGCCUCAGCGUCAGUUGUGGUCCAGAUAGCCGCCUUCGCCACCGGUGUUCUUCCCAAUAUCUACGAAUUUCACCUCUACACUGGGAAUUCCACUAUCCUCUCCCACACUCUAGCCUCGAAGUAUCGAGCGCAAUUCCUGGGUUAAGCCCAGGCAUUUCACGCCCGACUAGCGAAGCCGCCUACGCGCCCUUUACGCCCAGUAAUUCCGAACAACGCUAGCCCCCUUCGUAUUACCGCGGCGGCUGGCAC
Molecule: ribosomal RNA, 292 nt
Filed under: uncultured Alphaproteobacteria bacterium
Lineage: Bacteria; Pseudomonadati; Pseudomonadota; Alphaproteobacteria
Description: partial 16S ribosomal RNA
Source: RNAcentral